CCUACGGGUGGCAGCAGUGAGGAAUCUUGGUCAAUGGGCGGGAGCCUGAACCAGCCAAGCCGCGUGAGGGAAGAAGGUCCAGCGUACCGUAAACCUCUUUUGUCAGGGAACAAAGGCGUGGACUAGUCCCCGGAUGAGGGUACGUGAACAAAAAGCAUCGGCUAACUUCAGUCCAGACGCCGGGGUAAUGGGGAGGAUGCGAGCGUUAUCCGGAUCUAUUGGUUUAAAGGGGUGCGCGGGGGGCCUGUUAAGUCAGCGUUAAAGGCCCGGGGGUCAACCCCGGCGAGCCGUUGAAACUGGCGGGCUUGAGUUGGGGAGAAGUACGCGGAAUGCGCGGUGUAGCGGUGAAAUGCUCAGAUAUCGCGCAGAACCCCGAUUGCGAAGGCAGCGUACCGGCUCCACACUGACGCUGAGGCACGAAAGCGUGGGUAUCGAACAGGAUUAGAUACCCUGGUAGUC
Molecule: ribosomal RNA, 459 nt
Filed under: uncultured bacterium
Lineage: Bacteria
Description: partial 16S ribosomal RNA
Rfam family: Bacterial small subunit ribosomal RNA
Source: RNAcentral